UACAGAGGGUGCGAGCGUUAAUCGGAAUUACUGGGCGUAAAGCGUGCGCAGGCGGUUUGUUAAGUCCGCUGUGAAAUCCCCGAGCUCAACUUGGGAAUUGCAGUGGAUACUGGCAAGCUGGAGUAUGGUAGAGGAAGGUGGAAUUCCCGGUGUAGCAGUGAAAUGCGUAGAGAUCGGGAGGAACACCAGUGGCGAAGGCGGCCUUCUGGACCAAUACUGACGCUCAUGCACGAAAGCGUGGGGAGCAAACAGG
RNAcentral lists this ribosomal RNA (253 nucleotides) under uncultured bacterium. Its description in RNAcentral is "partial 16S ribosomal RNA". It matches the Rfam family "Bacterial small subunit ribosomal RNA", at positions 524 to 776 of the family's 1533-position model. The record is from RNAcentral.